GCUAGACACACCAGUCCCAGCUAUGCAGGAGGCUGAGAUGGGAGGAUUGCUUGAGCCCAGGAGUUCUGGGAUGUAGUGUGCUAUGCCACUGAUCAGGUGUCCAUACUAAGUUCAGCAUCAAUAUGGUGACUUCCAGGCAGCAGGGGACUACCAAGUUGCCUAAGGAGGGGUAACCCAGCCCAGUUGGAAAAGAGCAGAUCGAAACACCUGUGCUGAUUAGCAGAGGGAUCUCACCUGUGAAUAGCCACUGCACUCCAGCCUGGGCACAUAGACUUCAUCUCU
This 282-nucleotide signal recognition particle RNA is filed under the name Prolemur simus (greater bamboo lemur). RNAcentral's name for it is "Metazoan signal recognition particle RNA (ENSPSMG00000009429.1)". It matches the Rfam family "Metazoan signal recognition particle RNA". From Rfam's summary of the family: The signal recognition particle (SRP) is a universally conserved ribonucleoprotein. Lineage: Eukaryota; Metazoa; Chordata; Mammalia; Primates; Lemuridae. The record is from RNAcentral.